Non-coding RNA from Oryctolagus cuniculus (rabbit), 3634 nucleotides. The record is from RefSeq and is a predicted model, not a curated record. Lineage: Eukaryota; Metazoa; Chordata; Mammalia; Lagomorpha; Leporidae.
CCUGGGGAGGGAAAGCACUGUUUUUACCUCCAUUGCCUACAGAUGGAGUGUUGGGGAGCUUUGGGUUAGGAGGAGGGGCUGUAGGGAGAAGUAAUUGCUGCUUCUGGAUUGGUUGGGACCAACAGACCAGAAAGUUUACCUGUAAACAGGACAGUAGCUGGCAGUGAUCGGAUUUAAGUCAUGUUUCAGUAGAAACAGUCUUUCUGUUGGUUUUGCUCUCGGCUGUUAACUGAUUAACUUCCCUUAUCUCUCCCCCCACCCCUUGCCAUUAAACUUAGGACAUCUCAGAAUUUUUAUUUUAUCAAUUCCUACCACAUUGUUAUGAAACAAGCUUUUACUGAAGACCCUACAAGGAAAAAUGGACACUGGGACCUUGAUUUUCUGCUGCCUUCGGACUUGGACUUGGACUAGAACUUACACCAUCAGCUCUCCUGAUUCUAUAGCUUUCUGGCUGACUGCAGAUCUUGCGACUUCUUAGCCUCCAUAUUUCCAUCAUCGGAGUGAUGAUCAUUCAUGGUGUCAUCUGGCAGCAAAGAUAUGCAAAAUAUCUCUACCGGGUACUCCUAAUCAACCACUUGUAAGAAGCAAGGAACUGGGCCAGUGCUGUGGCGUAAUGGGCUAAAGCCUCCACCUGCAGUGCCAUCGUCCGAUAUGGGUGCCGGUUCACGUCCCGACUGCUCCUCUUUCGAUCCAGCUCCCUGCUUAGGUGCCUAUUAAGGCAGCAGAAGAUGGCCCAAGUCUUUGGGCCCCUGCAUCCAUGUGGGAGAUCCAGAAGAAGUUCCCGGUUCCGGGCUUCAAAUCGGCCCAUUGCAGCCAUUUGGGGAGUGAACCAUCAGAUGGAAGAUCUCUCUCUGUCUCCUUUUUUUGUGUAACUGCCUCUCAAUUAAAUAAAUAAGUGAAAGUAUUAAGGUAGGCAUUUGGGGAAGUAAUUAAGUCUGGAGAGUGCAGCUCUCAUGGAUGGGAUUAGGGCUCUUAUAAAAGGGCCUAAAGGAGUGGGUUCUUCCUCCUCCCAUCCCUCUGCUGUGGUGUGAGUCCCUCCCAGAGGAAGCAGUGCCCAUAGCACUGGAAUCCAGAAGCAGAGGCCAGACCCUCACAAGACACCAGACCUGCCAGCACCUGGAUCUUGGACUUGCAGCCUCCAACCUCAUGAGAAAUACAUUUCUGCUGUUCAUAAGUUACCCAGGCUUGGCUAUCGUUAGAGCAGCACAAAUGGACCCACGACGGGGAAAGGAGGAACGGGCAGAGAUGCUGAGAUGGCUGAAACAGGAAGGGCAGCAGUGGAGGAGCGGGGUCCCACCGACACGUUCUGCUCUUCCUGCACAAGGACUCCCACUUUGUUUCAGAAUCAUGUCUUCAUGUCUCUCUUCCCACUCAACACAGAAUUUCUUCCUGAGGCCAGGAGCUGCUUCUUCUUCGUCUUUAUAUUCUGAGAGUCCAGCACAGAACUGGACUUAGAAAGCCUCCAGGAAUAUGUUGAAUUAUAAACUAGGAAGUCAUAUAAUCUUCAUCUGCUCUUCUCCAGCUCACUAGUGAGCAAGUGCAAUCGGAGACAGGGCUGCUGCAUUGCAAUGGUAGGAAAGACGCAGUGGGUGCGGCUGCCCACGCACCUGCGCAUAACAGGCAAACAGGCACCUGCUGUACCAACACAGCACAGCCUCUGCCUCAGAACCCUAAAGGUAUAAGAAGGGGCAAACAAGUCAUCAACUGAAAAAACACAAAUGAAACUUUCUCCAAGCCUCAUUGACUGGAUGGUUUAACAAAUACUUUACUUAUCUCAGCAAAUCAGAGAAUUUAGGACUCUUAACUUCUAGUCAAACACUCCAAUUAAGUAAAACCUAGUAAAGUAGAAGGGAGGCACAACCUAUAAUUCUCCUUCUGGUUACAAAUCCCAAAGGUGGGGUUGGUGCUGUCACACAGCAGGUUAGAGCCCCCGGCUGCAGUGUCAGCAUCCCCUAUGUACACUGGUUCAGGUCCCGGCUGCUCCAUUUCUUUUUUUAAUUUAAAAAGAUGUAUUAGAGUCAAAGACCUCCAGCCAAGCCUCCAGCAUGGAGGGGUCUUCCAAGAGAGGAAAGAACUCAAAGAACCUUGAAGCACUGGGGCUUUUAAGUACAAUUUUGAAGAGGAAAAAAAAAACUUAACAAUCAGAUUGACCUUCAGCUACAAGGCAGGGACAAAACCCAUCAAAAGACCUGGUUUACAAUCUUUUAUCCUAUCUGGCUUGCUCAAGAUAAAACAAAAAAUCAUCCAGAAGGGUGGGAUGGGUAACUUGUUUUCAAUAAUACACUGUGAGUUUAGGAAAAUGAAAUCACUCCUCCCUUGCUAUUCUCAUGGUAAAUAUGGAGAUUCCUAAGGUAGGAGGGCAGACAUUUUGUUCUUGCUAAAGAUAACCUUUUUGGGGAAGGAAGCAAAUAUUUUACACCCCAAAUUCCACUGGGAUCCCCUGAAUACCUACUAACCCUUCCCACUGCUCACCUCCUCCCUCAACACGAUUGGACCCUAACAUCUGUUAGGGGGGACUGGACAAUGAUCGCUCUGGCUGCUUCAUGCUGAAAAUGGACAUUGUGGGGCCAGCACUGUGGCAGAGCAGGUAAAACUGCUGCCUGCAGUGCAGAUAUCCCAUAUGGGUGCUGGUUCGACCCGGCUGCUCCACUUCUGAUCCUCUCUGCUAUGGCCUGGGAAAGCUGUGGAAGAUGGCCCAAGUCCUUAGGUCCCUGCACCCGUGUGGGAGACACGGAGGAAGCUCCUGGCUCCUGGCUUCAGAUCGGCACAGCUUCAGCCAUUGUGGCCAAGCAAGGAGUGAACCAGCAGAUGGAAGACCUCUCUCUCUCUCUCUCUCUUUCUGCCUCUCCUUCUCUCUGCGUAAUUCUGACUUUCAAAUAAACAAAUAAAUAAAUCUUUAAACAAGAAAGAGAGAGAGAGAGAGAGAGGAAGGAAGGAAGGAAGGAAGGAAGGAAGGAAGGGAAAAUGGGCGUCUUCAGGAAGCGGAGUCAAGACAGGGUUGCAGCAGGAGGUGGCUUCUCCAGGGGGAUGCAGUGCCAGCUGCAGAAAUGGCUUCCACUGGAGGUUUCAUACAUGGCCACUUAGAAUUUUACUUUUUUAAGUCUGGAGAAAACAAAUCCAACAUACAGAAUCUAAAACCGAGGACAGAGUCAUUACUAGAAGUCCUAAGAAAGGUGUCUAACUCAUUAGCAAGUUUUUUCAUUGAGAGGCAAAUAGAAACUACCAGAAAGGGCUUGAAAAUAAUCAAGCGGGCUUUAAGGCCUUGCCAGUUAUGAGGCUCAGACCUAUCUCUCUACAUGGGGUACAUCUUAAGGGAGGCACCCUACUGACUUUCAUUAUCUAGCUGGCCUGCGAGGGAGUUGGCUUGCAAAGAACAUAGGUGGCAUUGCUCCAUGUCUGACACAGCUCCCUGCCUGGAAAGCAGCAGAGGAUGUCCCAAGUCCUUGGGCCCCUGCACCCAUGUGGGAGACCCAGAGGAAGCUCCUGGUUCCUGGCUUUGGAUCAGCGCAGUUCCAGCUGCUGUGGCCAUUUGGGGGAGUGAACCAGCAGAUGGAAGACUUUUCUUUUUCUCUACUUCUCUCUGUAACCCUGCCUUUCAAAUAAAUAAAAUAAAUCUAAAAAAAAAAAAAAAAAA